RNAcentral lists this ribosomal RNA (292 nucleotides) under uncultured bacterium. Its description in RNAcentral is "partial 16S ribosomal RNA". It matches the Rfam family "Bacterial small subunit ribosomal RNA", at positions 44 to 334 of the family's 1533-position model. The record is from RNAcentral.
GUGCUUAACACAUGCAAGUCGAGUGCGCGCCUGUAGCAAUACAGGUGGCGCACGGCGCACGGGUGCGUAACACGUGGGUAAUCUGCCCUUCGAUGGGGAAUAACCUCGCGAAAGCGAGGCUAAUUCCGCAUAACAUUCCGAGAACUUCGGUUUUUGGAUUCAAAGGCGUAAGUCGUCGGAGGAGGAGCCCGCGCACGAUUAGCUAGUUGGUAGGGUAAUGGCCUACCAAGGCUGUGAUCGUUAGCUGGUCUGAGAGGAUGGCCAGCCACACUGGAACUGAGACACGGUCCAG